CGUKGGGGAUCUUUCGGAAACUURGUGAUGGUCUAUCGGUGGGUCUUAGUGCGAUGCCCAUUAACGUCGUAGGAAUUCUUGGCAAUGCGAGGURGUGGUGCUCCGGCACUCUUCCACGUUAUUUCUUAGAAAAUCCAAGCACGUGUUGGGCAUCAAACGACGAUCAGGUUGGAUUUAAACAUAMAGACCACUGCUWGUGUUGACGAGAAUUUUUCCUUUUGCCAAUUGUUGGRAAAUUUGCGCUGUGUUUUCAURCGAUGGUAWUAAAACGAGUUGGAGUCUUGUGCUUUAUUCGUAGAGGACCACUCGRCAAAAUUUAAGCAGYGAUGCUUYGGUUCAAUGCUUGCGUUUUGUCGGAAAAUUCAAAGACACGUCGGGCAAGGGAUGAUGAUGACUCAAAUGACUUGACAAAACGGUGUUGGAUUAAAACUAAGUUGCGUCCCAUUAAGUUCUCGUGCACAGCGGUGCGGGUGAUGGCCUUUCUCGGUGUAUUCGCGUGUCAUUUGGCCGCGCCUCGCUUAGAAUUGUUGUUGCCUAGCGUACGUGGUGGCACAUGAGUGGUGAAUGGAUYGUUYGGUUUGGUUGGCUCCUUGCUCACGUGCAACGAACUAUCAAGCCUCGAUCCUCUUCAUUUGAAAGCCCCGAUGCCUUGUGCACUUCGGGGAACGGAUGGUUCCUGUGUUGAUUACCCACUAUGGAGGAAAUCAAUUGUUCGUUUGAUCUUUAUUCGCUCUUCCUUCUUUUUAAGAAAAAGGGUGGACYAAGUAGUUUUGCCUGUGUUCCAAGCAUGCUGAAAUCGGUUGCUAUGGCCYAUGGGCAAAUACUUGUGCUCUCGGGUGCAGAAAGUCAUGAGGGCGGACGAGACGCUCUUGUCCAUUUGCCCAAUUGUUCCUUGAAAUGAACGAUGUCCGUUCUCGUGUUGAUUUGGUCAUUWCCUUURGGAAUGAUGCGGUCAAUCGAGUUUCGGUGUCGAGAAGGAA
Molecule: unclassified non-coding RNA, 980 nt
Filed under: Phyllanthus florencei
Lineage: Eukaryota; Viridiplantae; Streptophyta; Magnoliopsida; Malpighiales; Phyllanthaceae
Description: partial external transcribed spacer
Source: RNAcentral